This is a long non-coding RNA of Arachis duranensis, 548 nucleotides long. RefSeq lists it as uncharacterized. Lineage: Eukaryota; Viridiplantae; Streptophyta; Magnoliopsida; Fabales; Fabaceae. The record is from RefSeq and is a predicted model, not a curated record. The transcript has 2 exons.
UGUAGAUUGAACAGAAUUGUCUGAGUAUACAGCAAGUUUUAUCCAUUCCUCCUAGUAUCAAAUACUUGGAAUUGGACUCUUCACCAAAUGAGGCUCUUUAUUUCCAUUAUAUGAAUUGGUUGCUCUCUUGUUGCUGUCCAAAAACUAUUUCAUUCUUCUUCCAGAAUGAUCGUGGCAUGAAACCAUUCACGGUGUUUGUCUAUGAGUUGCUGAUGGGCAGAAAAAAGCAGGAGUGGUUUGACCAUUUUGGUGAUACAAAGUGUUGGUGGCAUGACUUGAAGAUUGUCAAGCUCACAUACUCAUUCAGCGUUGACGAGAAGGUUGACUUUAAGACCACGCUAAAUGCAUUAUUAUUGCCAACUGAUGACCCGGAAUCUGUUAGUUUUAGCUUAGAAUUAUAAUAUUCUUAUUAUCAACUGGUACAUAUUCCUAAUUAGAUUUACAAUUUUGACGUUACCACUAAGCAAGAUUUGGGUAUUGUAUUGAGUAUUUUUUUCCAAGGUUUUAUACUUACACCAAUUAAUAUUUUAUCCCUUUGUUGAUUGUGA